GCUGGGCAUGGUGGCACAUGCCUGUAAUCCCAGCAAUUUGGAGGCUGGUGCAGGAGGAUUGCGAGUUCAAAGCCAGCCUCAACAGAUUAGCGAGACACUUAGCAACUCAGCGAGACCCUGUCU
Molecule: small RNA, 123 nt
Filed under: Marmota monax (woodchuck)
Lineage: Eukaryota; Metazoa; Chordata; Mammalia; Rodentia; Sciuridae
Source: RNAcentral